Molecule: non-coding RNA, 73 nt
Organism: Apodemus sylvaticus (European woodmouse)
Lineage: Eukaryota; Metazoa; Chordata; Mammalia; Rodentia; Muridae
Source: the annotation of a RefSeq genome assembly
GCCCAGCUAGCUCAGUUGGUAGAGCAUGGGACUCUUAAUCCCAGGGUCAUGGGUUUAAGCCCUACAUUGGGCG